Molecule: non-coding RNA, 279 nt
Filed under: Porphyromonas asaccharolytica
Lineage: Bacteria; Pseudomonadati; Bacteroidota; Bacteroidia; Bacteroidales; Porphyromonadaceae
Also listed under: 1 other name
Source: RNAcentral
GUACCUUUGCGGUGCAUAGGUGUACGAGGAACAACCAAAUCUUGUCACCCCGUCUGAAUAGGGAACUUGGUGCGAAGCCAAGACUGUACUCUCAGCUGUAACUCCUGAAGUGCGCCCCUGCAUUAAGAUGUCACUGUAGCACGACCCCUACAAGCCUUCGCGUGAAGGUGCUGUAGGUAGCUAUGGGAAGACCCAGGGUAUCGCCCGUUUUGUACGACUCGAUGUGAGCUAUACGAACUAGGGAGAAGUCAGAAGACCUGCCUGUGCCAUAGGACUUUU